This 68-nucleotide transfer RNA is filed under the name Empis tessellata. RNAcentral describes it as "tRNA-Ser". It matches the Rfam family "tRNA". From Rfam's summary of the family: Transfer RNA (tRNA) molecules are approximately 80 nucleotides in length. Their secondary structure includes four short double-helical elements and three loops (D, anti-codon, and T loops). Further hydrogen bonds mediate the characteristic L-shaped molecular structure. tRNAs have two regions of fundamental functional importance: the anti-codon, which is responsible for specific mRNA codon recognition, and the 3' end, to which the tRNAs corresponding amino acid is attached (by aminoacyl-tRNA synthetases). tRNAs cope with the degeneracy of the genetic code in two manners: having more than one tRNA (with a specific anti-codon) for a particular amino acid; and 'wobble' base-pairing, i.e. permitting non-standard base-pairing at the 3rd anti-codon position. The record is from RNAcentral. Lineage: Eukaryota; Metazoa; Arthropoda; Insecta; Diptera; Empididae.
AGUUAAUGAGCUUGACUAAAGCGUAUGUUUUGAAAACAUAAGAUAGAGCAUAAAUUCUCUAUUAACUU